RNAcentral lists this signal recognition particle RNA (100 nucleotides) under Bacteroidota bacterium. Its description in RNAcentral is "Bacteroidetes bacterium signal recognition particle sRNA small type". It matches the Rfam family "Bacteroidales small SRP". From Rfam's summary of the family: The non-coding component of the signal recognition particle in Bacteroides RNAcentral also lists the same sequence under 1 other name. Lineage: Bacteria; Pseudomonadati; Bacteroidota. The record is from RNAcentral.
GGGUAAGUCUCAUACGACCAGCUCCCUUUGAACUCCCCCAGGGUCGGAAGGCAGCAAGGGUAGAAGGUUGUAGCGGUGCGAUGUGAGUAGCUUACCCUUU